UGUGAGAGUGAUGAGUUGCACACUAGUGGAGCCAUAGUAUCCAGGUGAUACAGGCACCACUCAGUACCACCCUGGUGACAAAAUCAAGUGCACAGGGGCCAUCUGACUCACA
This is a small nucleolar RNA of Apodemus sylvaticus (European woodmouse), 112 nucleotides long. RefSeq annotates it as small nucleolar RNA SNORD67. The record is from RefSeq and is a predicted model, not a curated record. NCBI's taxonomy places the organism in Eukaryota, Metazoa, Chordata, Mammalia, Rodentia, Muridae. The transcript has a single exon.